RNAcentral lists this ribosomal RNA (402 nucleotides) under uncultured bacterium. RNAcentral describes it as "bacterial SSU rRNA". It matches the Rfam family "Bacterial small subunit ribosomal RNA", at positions 490 to 890 of the family's 1533-position model. The record is from RNAcentral.
GCCUCGGCUAACUACGUGCCAGCAGCCGCGGUAAAACGUAGGAGGCGAGCGUUAUCCGGAUUUACUGGGUGUAAAGCGCGUGCAGGCGGUUCGUUAAGUUGGAUGUGAAAGCUCCCGGCUCAACUGGGAGAGGUCGUACAAGACUGGCGGACUGGAGUGUGGUAAGGGAAGGUGGAAUUCCGGGUGUAGUGGUGAAAUGCGUAGAUAUCCGGAGGAACACCAGUGGCGAAAGCGGCCUUCUGGACCACAACUGACGCUCAGACGCGAAAGCUAGGGUAGCAAACGGGAUUAGAGACCCCGGUAGUCCUAGCCGUAAACGAUGUGAACUUGGCGGCGGUUGGGUAAAACCGAUCGGUGCCGAAGCAAACGCGAUAAGUUCACCACCUGGGGACUACGGCCGCA